CUGUCAAUGUUUUAGAGUUCAGAAGUCCAAAAUCAAGGUCAAGGUGUAAGCAGAUUUUCACUCCUCUGAACAGGUUUCUCAUCUUGGGGCUGCAUACUUCCAAACUCUGCCUCUGUCUUUACCUGGCCAUCUUUUCUGUGUUUCAGAUCUCUCUCUGCAUUUCUCUGUAAGAAUGCCUGCCAUUGGAUUCCAGGCCCACCCUAAAUCAACAAUGAUCUCAUCUCAAGAUCCUUACAUUAAUUACAUCUGCAAGAUGCUUUUUACAAAUGAGGUCACAUUCAGAGGUUUUAAAUGUUAAAACCUGGGCAUGUCUUUUUGGGGUCCACUAUUCAACCCACUGCAGUUAGGAGAUUGGAUGAGUUUCUGACAAGUGGACUCGAUCAUUUCUGUGAGAUACUUAACUAUCAGAAAACAUUUACAGAUGAAGAAAGAAGAACAUCUGAACACAGACUGAGGUAAUAGAGAAAACAAGGAAAUGAAUCUCAGAUAUGCGAUGAAGUUGGAAAAGAGAAUGACAGGAUACUUUUAGCUUGAAGUAAUUUGAAAGAUAGAGACUUCGAAAUACCUUAGAAAUAUUGGAUAUCACAAGAAAGGGCCAACUUCCCUCAGAAUUAUGACAAGGCACUGAAUUACGAGUUAAGGUCUCUUGGCUUCAGCCUUUAGCCUACUCCUUGCGGCCUUGUGACUUUAGGAAAGCAAUUUAGAUUAUCCAAGUCUCAGUUUUCUCAUCAGGGAAAUGCAGAGAGUAUUUUUUUUUAUAAUGGUGUUUUUAUUUGUAUGUAAAUAUUAAAGGGUCGUCAGCUAUAAAUAACUAUGAUAAUGACAGAGAUUUUAUUAGUCUUGGUGUUUCAUUUGUGGGUUGACUUUACUCCUGCAUAAUAGGAGCCAGUUGCGUACAGUGACUUGAGGGGUUUCCAGAGGAUUCUCUGCCUGUCAUAUUUCUCCUGAAUUAGACCAUGAUGAAACGACUAAAUCAUUUUCAUGGAGACCAAAGUUUUUAUAGCCUCAGCUUAAUUGAUUUAGGAACAUUAAGAUGCAAAUGUUAUCAAAGACAGGGCUCAACACAACUGUGGACAUCUAAACCCUUGACUAACCAGUCACCUAGCAAUGUCUGAAGAGAAUGGGUCAGAACUGCCACUAAAUAGGGUGGCCCAAAGAACUUGGGGUCACCAUGAAAAUAGUAAAUGCCUAUCAAGAGAACACCUGAGAGGAGCAAGGCAUAAAGAAGAGAGGAAAGGCCUUCUGCAGGUGACUUCACAAUUUUGACUCAGGCUGGUUUGUUCUGCCAAGAACCGAGGACUUUGAUAGAUGGCAGCCUUUGAUCUUUGUUCCUUUGCAUUCCAUCUCAUUGCCAUUGUUUUUCUGAACAAAUGGCUCCUAGGACUGUGUCCCAAGUAAUCCUCCUAGAGCAAUUGUGAUCUGGAGAGCUAACUUUACACCAGCAAGUCAUGCUUCCCAU
RNAcentral lists this long non-coding RNA (1459 nucleotides) under Piliocolobus tephrosceles (Ugandan red Colobus). RNAcentral's name for it is "lncRNA (ENSPTEG00000018470.1)". Lineage: Eukaryota; Metazoa; Chordata; Mammalia; Primates; Cercopithecidae. The record is from RNAcentral.